Molecule: ribosomal RNA, 110 nt
Filed under: Labrus bergylta (ballan wrasse)
Lineage: Eukaryota; Metazoa; Chordata; Actinopteri; Labriformes; Labridae
Source: RNAcentral
GCUUACGGCCAUACCACCCUGAACACGUCUCGAUCUCGGAAGCUAAGCAGGGUCGGGCCUGGUUAGUACUUGGAUGGGAGACCGCCUGGGAAUACCAGGUGCUGUAAGCU